This 697-nucleotide ribosomal RNA is filed under the name uncultured Bacteroidales bacterium. RNAcentral describes it as "bacterial SSU rRNA". It matches the Rfam family "Bacterial small subunit ribosomal RNA", at positions 28 to 722 of the family's 1533-position model. The record is from RNAcentral. Lineage: Bacteria; Pseudomonadati; Bacteroidota; Bacteroidia; Bacteroidales.
GAUGAACGCUAGCGGCAGGCUUAACACAUGCAAGUCGAGGGGCAGCGAGGUAGCAAUACCGUCGGCGACCGGCGCACGGGUGAGUAACAGGUAUGCAAUCUGCCUCUAACAGGGGGAUAACCCGUCGAAAGACGGACUAACACCGCAUAAGACCACGGGAUGGCAUCAUUUUGUGGUAAAAUAUUUAUAGGUUAGAGAUGAGCAUGCUUAUCAUUAGGUAGUUGGUAGAGUAACGGCCUACCAAGCCGACGAUGAUUAGGGGUUCUGAGAGGAAGGUCCCCCACACUGGUACUGAGACACGGACCAGACUCCUACGGGAGGCAGCAGUGAGGAAUAUUGGUCAAUGGGCGCGAGCCUGAACCAGCCAUGCCGCGUGAAGGAAGACGGCCCUACGGGUUGUAAACUUCUUUUGUACGGGAACAAUAAGAGUUACGUGUAACUUGAUGAGCGUACCGUACGAAUAAGCAUCGGCUAACUCCGUGCCAGCAGCCGCGGUAAUACGGAGGAUGCAAGCGUUAUCCGGAUUUAUUGGGUUUAAAGGGUGCGUAGGCGGGCGCAUAAGUCAGUGGUGAAAUACAAUCGCUUAACGAUUGAGGUGCCAUUGAUACUGUGUGUCUUGAGUGUAUUUGAGGUAGGCGGAAUGUGCAGUGUAGCGGUGAAAUGCUUAGAUAUUGCACAGAACACCGAUUGCGAAGGC